This 972-nucleotide ribosomal RNA is filed under the name Staphylococcus aureus. Its description in RNAcentral is "partial 23S ribosomal RNA". It matches the Rfam family "Bacterial large subunit ribosomal RNA", at positions 285 to 1258 of the family's 2925-position model. Lineage: Bacteria; Bacillati; Bacillota; Bacilli; Caryophanales; Staphylococcaceae. The record is from RNAcentral.
UUGCUUGUUGGGGUUGUAGGACACUCUAUACGGAGUUACAAAGGACGACAUUAGACGAAUCAUCUGGAAAGAUGAAUCAAAGAAGGUAAUAAUCCUGUAGUCGAAAAUGUUGUCUCUCUUGAGUGGAUCCUGAGUACGACGGAGCACGUGAAAUUCCGUCGGAAUCUGGGAGGACCAUCUCCUAAGGCUAAAUACUCUCUAGUGACCGAUAGUGAACCAGUACCGUGAGGGAAAGGUGAAAAGCACCCCGGAAGGGGAGUGAAAUAGAACCUGAAACCGUGUGCUUACAAGUAGUCAGAGCCCGUUAAUGGGUGAUGGCGUGCCUUUUGUAGAAUGAACCGGCGAGUUACGAUUUGAUGCAAGGUUAAGCAGUAAAUGUGGAGCCGUAGCGAAAGCGAGUCUGAAUAGGGCGUUUAGUAUUUGGUCGUAGACCCGAAACCAGGUGAUCUACCCUUGGUCAGGUUGAAGUUCAGGUAACACUGAAUGGAGGACCGAACCGACUUACGUUGAAAAGUGAGCGGAUGAACUGAGGGUAGCGGAGAAAUUCCAAUCGAACCUGGAGAUAGCUGGUUCUCUCCGAAAUAGCUUUAGGGCUAGCCUCAAGUGAUGAUUAUUGGAGGUAGAGCACUGUUUGGACGAGGGGCCCCUCUCGGGUUACCGAAUUCAGACAAACUCCGAAUGCCAAUUAAUUUAACUUGGGAGUCAGAACAUGGGUGAUAAGGUCCGUGUUCGAAAGGGAAACAGCCCAGACCACCAGCUAAGGUCCCAAAAUAUAUGUUAAGUGGAAAAGGAUGUGGCGUUGCCCAGACAACUAGGAUGUUGGCUUAGAAGCAGCCAUCAUUUAAAGAGUGCGUAAUAGCUCACUAGUCGAGUGACACUGCGCCGAAAAUGUACCGGGGCUAAACAUAUUACCGAAGCUGUGGAUUGUCCUUUGGACAAUGGUAGGAGAGCGUUCUAAGGGCGUUGAAGCAU